GUGCUCGCUUUGGCAGCACAUAUACUAAAAUUGGAACGGUACAGAGAACAUUAGCAUGGCCCCUGUGCAGGAAUACAUGUGCAAGAACUUACUUAUGUCUUC
Molecule: small nuclear RNA, 102 nt
Organism: Suricata suricatta (meerkat)
Lineage: Eukaryota; Metazoa; Chordata; Mammalia; Carnivora; Herpestidae
Source: Ensembl